This is a long non-coding RNA of Episyrphus balteatus (marmalade hoverfly), 1000 nucleotides long. RefSeq lists it as uncharacterized. NCBI's taxonomy places the organism in Eukaryota, Metazoa, Arthropoda, Insecta, Diptera, Syrphidae. The record is from RefSeq and is a predicted model, not a curated record. The transcript has 3 exons.
UCCAUUUUUAUUUUGUUUCUAAAGUUAAAUUACUGCUACUUUGAACAUGGAUGCAAUUUUAUUGGCAACUUUAUUGGAAAAAAGCAGAGUUUAAAAGAAAAAAUAAGAAGUCACAUUUUGCGAGACAUAUGAAAUAUGUAGGUAAGUGAAAUGCAGAACAUGGGCGAUAUUAUUGCAAAUUUUCAAAGAAAAAUGAAUUAGAUAAAGUGUAAAGCGAAUGAGGUUUCAAACACAGAGGCAUGAUAUUUCAUGCCUCAUGUGUUUUAUGUAUUUUGUAUUAAAUUAACAACAAUAAACAUUACAAAACAAUAAAAAUAUAAGUUUUGAUAAUAUUUUGUCCAAAAAUUGGAGAUUCAUUGAAAAAGAUACCAAGUUCACGAGCAGAAACAAAGCGAAUUGAAUUCGAUCAGAAAAUCGAAAUGAGCGAAAAAAUGUAGAACACCUUAAUCACUAUCGGCAACGCAAUUGCACAGAGAAAAAUAGACCACAUAAAAUAGAACAAAAACAAUAAGAUUUCUCUAUGGUUUUCAUCCAAGAAGGAAACCUUAUUAAAACAAUCGGGUUUUCCUUAUUGUUUUAAAAUCUGCAAAAAAAUAAAAAAAACGAUGACCAGGCUGGGAAUCGAACUGGAGACUUCAAAUCAUUAGUCGCCCACCUUACCACCUGAACCAACCUGCCAUGAAAUUAUUGAUCGCGAUUUUUGUUCUAGUGCUAAGUUGCAAAAAAAAUCAACUUUUCAGUCAAAUUUUAAUAAGAUUUUCUCUAUAAAAAUAAUAAGAAAUCUCCUUAAAAAAACCUUAUUAAUCGUUGAUUUUAAUAAGAUUUCCUUAUGAAAUGUAUGGACGGUAAAACAAUAUGGCAAUCUGUUAGUUUUUAGCGGGUCAUAUUUUUCUCUGUACAGUUUUUUAAUCGCUGCAGUUAUAAGGUGUGAACUUGCGAUAGUGAUAGCGGGUGUUAAAAAUUGUGAACAGUAUUAAAUUGUUAUGGAUAUUAAACGAGA